Molecule: ribosomal RNA, 200 nt
Filed under: uncultured organism
Description: partial small subunit ribosomal RNA
Rfam family: Bacterial small subunit ribosomal RNA
Source: RNAcentral
UCAAGUCAUCACGGCCCUUACGCCUGGGGCGACACACGUGCUACAAUGGCCGGGACAAUGGGUUGCCAAGCCGCAAGGCGGAGCGAAUCCCACCAAACCCGGUCUCAGUUCGGAUCGGGGGCUGCAACCCGCCCCCGUGAAGUCGGAGUCGCUAGUAACCGCAGGUCAGCAGUACUGCGGUGAAUACGUUCCCGGGCCUU